Molecule: ribosomal RNA, 497 nt
Filed under: uncultured bacterium
Lineage: Bacteria
Description: partial 16S ribosomal RNA
Rfam family: Bacterial small subunit ribosomal RNA
Source: RNAcentral
GACGAACGCUGGCGGCGUGCCUAAUACAUGCAAGUUGAGCGCUGAAGGUUGGUACUUGUACCAACUGGAUGAGCAGCGAACGGGUGAGUAACGCGUGGGGAAUCUGCCUUUGAGCGGGGGACAACAUUUGGGAACGAAUGCUAAUACCGCAUAAAAACUUUAAACACAAGUUUUAAGUUUGAAAGAUGCAAUUGCAUCACUCAAAGAUGAUCCCGCGUUGUAUUAGCUAGUUGGUGAGGUAAAGGCUCACCAAGGCGAUGAUACAUAGCCGACCUGAGAGGGUGGUCGGCCACAUUGGGACUGAGACACGGCCCAAACUCCUACGGGAGGCAGCAGUAGGGAAUCUUCGGCAAUGGACGAAAGUCUGACCGAGCAACGCCGCGUGAGUGAAGAAGGUUUUCGGAUCGUAAAACUCUGUUGGUAGAGAAGAACGUUGGUGAGAGUGGAAAGCUCAUCAAGUGACGGUAACUACCCAGAAAGGGACGGCUAACUACGUG